RNAcentral lists this long non-coding RNA (1485 nucleotides) under Anser brachyrhynchus (Pink-footed goose). Its description in RNAcentral is "lncRNA (ENSABRG00000013823.1)". Lineage: Eukaryota; Metazoa; Chordata; Aves; Anseriformes; Anatidae. The record is from RNAcentral.
UGGAGUAUGAAACCUUCCUUCACACAUAUAGCAGAGCAAGGGGUAACACAGGUGUAUUGCAUUUUAACAGUACCAACAGGCCGUCUAAUGGAGCAAAUCUGCAUAUGCUAUUGAACCUUACUUUAUAAAUAGAGAGGAGAAGGGGUUAUAAAGACCUGAAGUAUGCUGCCUUGCAAGCUGGAAAGCUCGAUCAUGACCCAGAAGUUUUUUUUUUUAAAAAAAAAAAAAAAAAAAAAAAGCAACCCCGUAUAACCGUAACACAAAGAAGCCCCUCCAGGGGCAGCAAAGGCUCCCAGCGCUGUGGCCUGCUCCUCACGCAGCCUUAACACCUCUGCUGGUAGCUUUCCCCGUUCCCUCCCGCGUUCCCUCCAGAACUACCCACCCCCAGCCAAAGCCUAGUCUGCAGCUGGACCCCAAACCUGCUUGCGGCCAGCUAGCCCCAGGCCCCUACCUUCACCCCCACCGGGGUUCGGGGCUGGCAGCUGGCCCCGGGGCUGCGAUGUGCCAACCCCAAGCUCCCACAGGAGCCCGAAAUGCCAGGGACACGCCGGGCCCGACCCAGCCGCUGGCGGUAGGUUCUCGGCGCGGCUCCCCGGCCCCUGCGGCCCGGCCCCGGCAUGCUCUGCCCCCGGGGCGCCACCGAGUUGGGGAGGCCGGGAGUGGGAGCGGGGCGGGGGGGACCCCGGCUGCUGGUGGUUCUGUCUUCAGCCAGGCGGCGGUCAGUGGGCUGCCUUCCCGGCCAGCCCUCGGUAAUCGCCACUUCCUCAGGGUAAGGUGGGGCAUUCGCUUCGUGGCCCCAGAGGCAGCCGUGGGUGCCCUCCAGUAGCUUAGUGCUUUGGCUACCUUGUGCUCUGAGGGCAUGUGGUUAUUUGGGUCAUCUGGCGUUUCACCUGUCCCUUCCGAUGUAGUUGCUCUGAGAGCAGGAUUAUUUUACUCCAUGUAUAGCAGAGAGCAUAGGCAAGGUCUGUGCCUUGCUUUAGGUUCAACAGCAUUGACCUUGGAGAAACACUUGCUUUUCGUUACAGACAUAUGCACCUGGUGGGGUGCAGGUAUGAGAGGAAGACCUGCCUCAUGUAUCCAGAGGCAACGGAGAACAAGCAGCAGCUACUGCAACAGAGUGACCCUAAAACUCAAGCUAAGGAACAAGACACUGAGAAUUUUUCCAUACUCAGACUGCUGUUGUCCAAGUCAUCCGUGGAAGCACUCACAUUCAAAGUUGACUUCCUGAACCUAGAUUUGUGGACCGAAAGUAUCUGAAUUGGAAAUGGUAAAGUACUGAAUUUGGAUCUAAGACUAUGGCCUCACAGACCUGAAGAAAACACCUCAUCUUUUUUUUUUUUUUUUCUUCAUCCAAGCCCUUCCAUAUGACUGUAACUUACACUUACAGGAAAUAAUUGGAGUAUGAUAGUAAAAUACUCUUAAUAAGAACACCAAGGUAUCAGUAAUUGCUGAUUACUCUUGAGAAUAAAAACAAUCAAAAAGCCA